CCUACGGGAGGCAGCAGUAGGGAAUAUUGCUCAAUGGGGGAAACCCUGAAGCAGCAACGCCGCGUGGAGGAUGAAGGUUUUAGGAUUGUAAACCCCAUUUGUUAGAGGAGAUAAUGACGGUAUCCAACGAAUAAGCACCGUCUAACUCCGUGCCAGCAGCGGCGGUAACAAGGCGGGUGCAAGCGUUAUUCGGAAUGACUGGGCGUAAAGCGUGCGUAGGCGGGGUAAUAGGUCAGAUGUGAAAUCCUGUAGCUUAACUACAGAACUGCAGUUGAAACUGUUACUCUGGAGUGUGGGAGAGGUAGGUGGAAUUCGUGGUGUAGCGGUAAAAUCCGUAGAGAUCAAGAGGAAUACUCAUUGCGAAGGCGACCUGCUGGCACAUUACUGACGCUGAUGCACGAAAGCGUGGGGAGCAAACAGGAUUAGAUACCCUUGUAGUC
This 440-nucleotide ribosomal RNA is filed under the name uncultured bacterium. Its description in RNAcentral is "partial 16S ribosomal RNA". It matches the Rfam family "Bacterial small subunit ribosomal RNA", at positions 338 to 795 of the family's 1533-position model. The record is from RNAcentral.